GAGAAAAGAUCUUGGAAGCAUGGAGGAGAAAGGAGAGCUUAUGUGCAAGAAGUCAUUUUCGCAACUCUUGGUACAGCUUCACUAAAUCAGCUUCUGUUUCGGAGGAGAAAACUGACCUUGAAGUUGUGUCAGUGAUGCUGAAAGUGGGUACAAGUGUGAUUACGGGUUUGAUGAGGAUAUAGUGGAACUUUGACUUUGGUAGGAGUGCAAUGGCAGCAAAGAACAUGAUCUCAACCUCCAUGUUAGCAAGGUGCAGUUUAGUAGUGUUUGGUCAGUAGCAGGUUUGGACUGAAGACUUGGAAGUGGUGUUGGCUCGAAGACCUCGUUGGUUUUGACAUUCCGCUGUGCAAGAUCCAUUGAAG
Vicia villosa (hairy vetch) is the source of this 362-nucleotide long non-coding RNA. RefSeq lists it as uncharacterized. NCBI's taxonomy places the organism in Eukaryota, Viridiplantae, Streptophyta, Magnoliopsida, Fabales, Fabaceae. The transcript has 3 exons. The record is from RefSeq and is a predicted model, not a curated record.